UACUAGAGUAGCACUCGCAUAUCAAUAAGCGGAGGAAAAGAAACUAACAAGGAUUCCCCUAGUAACGGCGAGUGAAGCGGGAAGAGCUCAAAUUUGAAAUCUUAAAGGGUUUCCCUUUACGAAUUGUAGUUUAAAGAAGUGUUUUCUGUUGAGGUUUUGGUAAAAGUUCUUUGGAAUAGGACAUCAUAGAGGGUGAGAAUCCCGUAUUUGACCUUUACUUUCAACUUUGUGAUACACUUUCAAAGAGUCGGAUUGUUUGGGAAUGCAGUCCAAAAUGGGUGGUAAAUUUCAUCUAAAGCUAAAUAUUGGCGAGAGACCGAUAGCGAACAAGUACCGUGAGGGAAAGAUGAAAAGAACUUUGAAAAGAGAGUUAAACAGUACGUGAAAUUGUCAAAAGGGAAGCGUUUGACACCAGUGUUGUUUUUCUGAAAAUCGAUUAAAGAACUGUUUAUGCUAAGUUGUUUAGACUUUAUCAGCUGACUGUUUAGUUUUGAGCUUUUCUUUAAUGCACUUUUCAGUUAACAAGUCAACAUCAAUUUCUUUUGCUGUAAAAAAGCUUGAGGAAGGUGGCUUGAGAUUCGUCUUAAGUGUUUAUAGCCUCUUGCCUAUGCAGUCGGAGAGAUUGAGGUCUGCAGCGUAGAUCCUUCGGGGCUAAAUGCAUUUGUGCUAAGUUAUAGCAUUUUAUAGACAACUUGUUGACUAUGAUUUGUCUUGUAGCUUACUCGCUUAUGUUAUUUUACCUACGCUUAGGAUGUUGAGCGCAUGUCUCUCUCU
Molecule: ribosomal RNA, 774 nt
Filed under: uncultured Neocallimastigales
Lineage: Eukaryota; Fungi; Neocallimastigomycota; Neocallimastigomycetes; Neocallimastigales
Description: partial large subunit ribosomal RNA
Rfam family: Eukaryotic large subunit ribosomal RNA
Source: RNAcentral